CCUACGGGCGGCAGCAGUGGGGAAUAUUGGACAAUGGGGGCAACCCUGAUCCAGCCAUGCCGCGUGAGUGAUGAAGGCCUUCGGGUCGUAAAGCUCUGUGGAGAGGGACGAACUUCCGGCGGUUAAUACCCGGCGGAUUGACGGUACCUCUUUAGCAAGCACCGGCUAACUCCGUGCCAGCAGCCGCGGUAAUACGGAGGGUGCAAACGUUGCUCGGAAUCAUUGGGCGUAAAGCGCACGUAGGCGGGUUGUCAAGUCGGAUGUGAAAGCCCUCGGCUUAACUGAGGAAGUGCAUUCGAAACUAGCAGCCUUGAGUACAGAAGAGGGUCGCGGAAUUCCCGGUGUAGAGGUGAAAUUCGUAGAUAUCGGGAGGAACACCAGUGGCGAAGGCGGCGACCUGGGCUGAUACUGACGCUGAGGUGCGAAAGCGUGGGGAGCAA
Molecule: ribosomal RNA, 440 nt
Filed under: uncultured bacterium
Lineage: Bacteria
Description: bacterial SSU rRNA
Rfam family: Bacterial small subunit ribosomal RNA
Source: RNAcentral